Molecule: non-coding RNA, 24 nt
Filed under: Arabidopsis thaliana (thale cress)
Lineage: Eukaryota; Viridiplantae; Streptophyta; Magnoliopsida; Brassicales; Brassicaceae
Source: RNAcentral
AUACUCGAUGACAAGCUUCAGAGC